Molecule: ribosomal RNA, 392 nt
Filed under: uncultured bacterium
Lineage: Bacteria
Description: bacterial SSU rRNA
Rfam family: Bacterial small subunit ribosomal RNA
Source: RNAcentral
AUUGAACGCUGGCGGCAUGCCUUACACAUGCAAGUCGAACGGCAGCACGGGAGCAAUCCUGGUGGCGAGUGGCGAACGGGUGAGUAAUAUAUCGGAACGUGCCCGGUCGUGGGGGAUAACGUAGCGAAAGCUACGCUAAUACCGCAUACGAUCUACGGAUGAAAGCGGGGGAUCGCAAGACCUCGCGCGAUUGGAGCGGCCGAUAUCAGAUUAGGUAGUUGGUGAGGUAAAGGCUCACCAAGCCGACGAUCUGUAGCUGGUCUGAGAGGACGACCAGCCACACUGGGACUGAGACACGGCCCAGACUCCUACGGGAGGCAGCAGUGGGGAAUUUUGGACAAUGGACGCAAGCCUGAUCCAGCAAUGCCGCGUGCAGGAUGAAGGCCUCGGUU